RNAcentral lists this long non-coding RNA (1620 nucleotides) under Sarcophilus harrisii (Tasmanian devil). RNAcentral's name for it is "lncRNA (ENSSHAG00000030908.1)". Lineage: Eukaryota; Metazoa; Chordata; Mammalia; Dasyuromorphia; Dasyuridae. The record is from RNAcentral.
GGAGGAUGUAAGAGCAAAAAUUUUAAGGCACUAAUAAGUAAGUCUUUGGGAGAAACUCAUUUAUUUUACCCAAUAUCUUUUAUUUUCUUAUUACUUUCUCUCCCUUAUAUAAGCACCUUAUGACUUGGGCUGCCUGUCUACUUUUCCCUAAGGUUAUCAGUGACCUAAUGACCAAAUCAAAUGGCAAUCCUUAAUUCUUGUCCUUUACAGUUUAAUUCUGUUUGCCCAUAAGACAAAUGUUCUUCCAUCAACAUCAGAGACACCACAUAUUCCUGCUUGUUUUCCAAUUGCUCAUCUCUCAACUUAACCUCUUCCCAACCUCUCAUUUGGGUAUUUGAAAGUUUGUCUUUGGCCCCUUUCUCCUCAGCAGUCUCCUUGUGAUAGUAGUGCUCUGGAGAUUUUGUGGUCACUUGACUGAAUUGCAUUUCUAACUACCCCACUAUCAGGUGUGGUGUGGUCCUAACUAAGUUCCAUCCCUUCUACAGACCUCCUUUUUCCCAGUUGUAAAAUGAAAGUGGAACUAGACAGGUGAUCUACAAAAAUAUCCCAAACUUGUAUUUCUCAUUCCUCUGAGUUCAAUUUGCAAUUCCAUCUUCAUUCAGGAAAAUCACCUUGUCACCUUGGACUUGAGUGUGGGAAAUUAAGUCUAACACCUUUCUUCCUAUCCUUGUCUUUCAUUCUGUGAUUGUUGAGCCACUGUUCUCAUUUCCAUCUCUCUGAAAUUCCUCCUUUCUCUUCUGUACACUAGUGCAGAGUUGCCUGGAUUCUGGUAUCACCAGGAUGGUCUUUCUUAGGAAUAGUUAAGCAUAUCACUACACCAAAAUAUUCAAUACCUUAUCACUUCCUGAGUAAAAUUCAAGCUUCUGCCCAGCUUUAAAAGCCCAAGAUUUUGGUACCACCCUAUCUUUUCCAGAUUUAUUUGCUUUUACCACCUCUAUAUUCCUUUAACGUACCUUGGACUGGGCUCUUAUCUCUCUAGUUGCCUUAGACAUUCUUUCAAAGGCAACUCAAAAUCCCUUCACGUGUUAAUUGUUAAGGGGAAAAAAAAAAAACAACUUUCCCUUCACACCUCACCUAACACUGUCUAAAUUUUGUAAUGCAUUUUUCAUGUAGAGCUCUGUAUUGUGUAGCUGCUGAAUCUUAACCCCAUGGGGUAUGGCCAUCUAAAUUUAGCCAAGUGCCUAGCAUAAUGCUUUACACAUGUAUUUAAUGUUUUUGAUACAGUUUGUAAGUAAAACUUGGAGGUUUUUAACUAUAUAGCAUUUAAAAGAUUAUGUGGUAUUUUCCUCGUAUCAACCAUGUGAUACAGUACAAGUAGCACCAUUUGACUAAAUAGAAGUAACUACACUUGCUUCAAGUUGUUAAUAUAUGCCUAUAUCAGUAAUAUCAAGCAUUAUUCCUAUUUAUAAAACGUGUAAUUGGGGGUAGAAGAAGAAGAGAAAGGGGAAGAAAUAAGCCCAAUAAAUAGCAUCCUUAUAAAAAAAAAAGGUCUGCUCAUGAGUUUAAUUUAGUUCCUUUAUGUAAGAAAUUGAAAUAACGUUAGCAAAUGAAAAAUAAAAGGUUUUACUUAAGCAAAUGAUGUAAAUGAAAUUGGCCAAGGGAUAAUAAAGUAAACUUUUG